This 969-nucleotide ribosomal RNA is filed under the name uncultured bacterium. RNAcentral describes it as "bacterial SSU rRNA". It matches the Rfam family "Bacterial small subunit ribosomal RNA", at positions 9 to 949 of the family's 1533-position model. The record is from RNAcentral.
GAGUUUGAUCCUGGCUCAGGACGAACGCUGGCGGCGUGCCUAAUACAUGCAAGUCGAACGCUUUUUCUUUCACCGGAGCUUGCUCCACCGAAAGAAAAAGAGUGGCGAACGGGUGAGUAACACGUGGGUAACCUGCCCAUCAGAAGGGGAUAACACUUGGAAACAGGUGCUAAUACCGUAUAACACUAUUUUCCGCAUGGAAGAAAGUUGAAAGGCGCUUUUGCGUCACUGAUGGAUGGACCCGCGGUGCAUUAGCUAGUUGGUGAGGUAACGGCUCACCAAGGCCACGAUGCAUAGCCGACCUGAGAGGGUGAUCGGCCACACUGGGACUGAGACACGGCCCAGACUCCUACGGGAGGCAGCAGUAGGGAAUCUUCGGCAAUGGACGAAAGUCUGACCGAGCAACGCCGCGUGAGUGAAGAAGGUUUUCGGAUCGUAAAACUCUGUUGUUAGAGAAGAACAAGGAUGAGAGUAGAACGUUCAUCCCUUGACGGUAUCUAACCAGAAAGCCACGGCUAACUACGUGCCAGCAGCCGCGGUAAUACGUAGGUGGCAAGCGUUGUCCGGAUUUAUUGGGCGUAAAGCGAGCGCAGGCGGUUUCUUAAGUCUGAUGUGAAAGCCCCCGGCUCAACCGGGGAGGGUCAUUGGAAACUGGGAGACUUGAGUGCAGAAGAGGAGAGUGGAAUUCCAUGUGUAGCGGUGAAAUGCGUAGAUAUAUGGAGGAACACCAGUGGCGAAGGCGGCUCUCUGGUCUGUAACUGACGCUGAGGCUCGAAAGCGUGGGGAGCGAACAGGAUUAGAUACCCUGGUAGUCCACGCCGUAAACGAUGAGUGCUAAGUGUUGGAGGGUUUCCGCCCUUCAGUGCUGCAGCAAACGCAUUAAGCACUCCGCCUGGGGAGUACGACCGCAAGGUUGAAACUCAAAGGAAUUGACGGGGGCCCGCACAAGCGGUGGAGCAUGGUGGUUUU